GAAACGACUGCUAAGACUGGAUAGGAAAUUAAGAGGCAUCUUUUAAUUUUUAAAAGACCUUUUUCGGAAGGUAUGCUUAAAGAGGGGCUUGCGCCACAUUAGUUAGUUGGUAAGGUAAAGGCUUACCAAGACGAUGAUGUGUAGCUGGACUGAGAGGUUGAACAGCCACAUUGGGACUGAGACACGGCCCAAACUCCUACGGGAGGCAGCAGUAAGGAAUUUUUGGCAAUGGAGGAAACUCUGACCGAGCGACGCCGCGUGAACAAUGAAGUACUUCGGUAUGUAAAGUUCUUUUAUUGAAAAAGAAAAAAUAGUGGAAAAACUAUCUUGACAUUAUUCAAUGAAUAAGCCCCGGCUAAUUAUGUGCCAGCAGCCGCGGUAACACAUAAGGGGCGAGCGUUAUCCGGAAUUAUUGGGCGUAAAGGGUGCGUAGGCGGUUUGAUAAGUCUAUAGUUUAAAUGCAGCGCUUAACGCUGUAGCGCUAUAGAAACUGUCUGACUAGAGUUAGAUAGAGGCAAGCGGAAUUCCAUGUGUAGCGGUAAAAUGCGUAAAUAUAUGGAGGAACACCAGAGGCGUAGGCGGCUUGCUGGGUCUUAACUGACGCUGAGGCACGAAAGCGUGGGGAGCAAACAGGAUUAGAUACCCUGGUAGUCCACGCCGUAAACGAUGAGUACUAAGUGUCGGGUUUCGGCUCGGUACUGAAGUUAACACAUUAAGUACUCCGCCUGAGUAGUACGUACGCAAGUAUGAAACUUAAAGGAAUUGACGGGACCCCGCACAAGCGGUGGAUCAUGUUGUUUAAUUCGAAGAUACACGAAAAACCUUACCAGGUCUUGACAUAAUUUUGCGACAUUAUAGAAAUAUAAUGAAGGUUAUCAGAAUUACAGGUGGUGCAUGGUUGUCGUCAGCUCGUGUCGUGAGAUGUUAGGUUAAGUCCUAAAACGAGCGCAACCCUUGUCGUUAGUUGCGACCACGUAAUGGUGAGCACUUUAGCGAGACUGCCAAUGAAAAAUUGGAGGAAGGUGAGGAUUACGUCAAAUCAUCAUGCCCCUUAUGAUCUGGGCUACAAACGUGAUACAAUGGCUGUUACAAAGAGUAGCUACAACGUGAGUUUUUAGCCAAUCUCAAGAAAACAGUCUCAGUUCGGAUUGAAGUCUGCAACUCGACUUCAUGAAGUUGGAAUCGCUAGUAAUCGCGAAUCAGCAUGUCGCGGUGAAUACGUUGACGGGGUUUGUACACACCGCCCGUCA
RNAcentral lists this ribosomal RNA (1250 nucleotides) under Candidatus Phytoplasma phoenicium. RNAcentral describes it as "bacterial SSU rRNA". It matches the Rfam family "Bacterial small subunit ribosomal RNA", at positions 153 to 1399 of the family's 1533-position model. The record is from RNAcentral. Lineage: Bacteria; Bacillati; Mycoplasmatota; Mollicutes; Acholeplasmatales; Acholeplasmataceae.